RNAcentral lists this long non-coding RNA (1137 nucleotides) under Sus scrofa (pig). RNAcentral describes it as "lncRNA (ENSSSCG00060055974.1)". The record is from RNAcentral. Lineage: Eukaryota; Metazoa; Chordata; Mammalia; Artiodactyla; Suidae.
AUGCUGGACGUGCGUUCCCUAGGGGCGCUGGUUCCCCAGGCCAGCUCUGGAGCAGGUGGAAAAGACGUUGGAGUCCAGGAAAGACAAAAGUUCCUGGCCCUUCUUCUCCACACCCUCCCCACCCUUCUCCCUAGCUGUGGGGGGAGGAGCUUCCGUCGAGGUCGGACGAGGCGUGGGGCCUUGCCCGCGGGUGAGUCCCCAGCCGCAUGGAAAGGCGCCGCCGACCUGCCCGAUCUGAGGCCUGCCCGGAGCUCCGGGACCCAAGGGGGUGGCUUCGGAAGGACGCUCCGCGUUUCCAUCCGUUUCUUGCCCUAUCUCCCAAAAUCUGGCCCCAGAAUCCCACCCUGGACGCCGCCCCAGGCCACUUCGGUCGCCCGGGGGCCUCACACAGGGAUUGCCCCGGUGGCGGGGCACCGGCUCAACAGCCCCUGAGAAAAUGCCAGCACCUGAGCUGUCGACUCAGGGGCCCUUCGUGCCUCCAGACCUCUGGGCACUAUUGCUAGUGAUUGCUGCACGGCCGUCGACUUCGAAAGCCACCUCCAUCCCUCUCUGGGCGCCGCCCCCCCCCCGCCCCCGAGUCGGCCAGGAGCUUGACAGGCGGCCUAGGAAAGAGCGGGCUAAUUCUCUGGCCGAGGCCCCACGUCGCCUGUGAAAAUCGCUUUAGGUUUUUGGGUGCGACCCGGAGCCUGGGCAGGUCAAGGACUACCGGCCAAGACAAAGGGGGGGGGGUGUGGAAUCGUUCCCACGCUCGCCGUCAUCCGAAAAGAAACCCAAGUCAAGAAAUCCGCUCUUGGCUGUACGGGCUGCCUUGAGCUGGCCUUUCCAGGGGCCGGGAGUGGGGCCCCCGAGGAGGCCGGGGGCUCUAGGUAGCCCGGGCCGGGGCUCAGGCUCCCGCCGCCCCAAGGCGCGCUCUCCCAGACUCCCUUGCGCCCGGGCGGGCGGGUCGGGGCCCUUCCGGCCGCCGCGGACCCCCGGGCUCCCGGGGGCGCCGCCACUCGGCUGCCGGGGCGGACCCGGCUCCCCGGCCGCUGCAGCCCCGCCCCGGCCGCGAUGCCCGGGCGGGGAAGCCCGAGAGUUGGCUCCCGGCCGGCCCAGGGCCCCUCCGGCCCGCAUUCCCGAGGCCUGAACGGCGAACAG